UUAUAUUUAAAGAGCCCUAGAGGCAUCUCACUACAGGAAAAGGAUUUCUCUCAUGUCCAGGUCUAGUCUGUUCCAGAGAACAGCCUCUGAAAAGUAGUGGGAGCUGCUUUUCAGCCAACAGUCAUGGGUCUUGUGCUCUUUUUGUGGGUCUCUUUGAUAUCUUUCCUGUUGGAGAGUAGUCUUGAGUUUACACUUGUUGAAGAUGGACAUUACCGGCCCACCUAUGCAUCUCAGAACCUUCAUGAUAUUGAUGAUGAUACCCUUUUCUCUGAUCUGUCCUUUGAUGAAGGAGAAGGGGAGGACUUGGGUAACUCACCAAGUAGCCCUGUCGACACAGCCU
Molecule: non-coding RNA, 340 nt
Organism: Nothobranchius furzeri (turquoise killifish)
Lineage: Eukaryota; Metazoa; Chordata; Actinopteri; Cyprinodontiformes; Nothobranchiidae
Source: RefSeq, a predicted model, not a curated record